AUUUGACUCAACGCGGGGAAUCUUACCGGGUCCGGACACACUGAGGAUUGCAGACAGUUGUCUUUCCCUCCCUUCGGGGUGGGAUUACAAAAGAUAACAGAUCUUUCAUGAUCAUGUGAUGGGUGGUGCAUGGCCGUUCUUAGUUCGUGGAGUGAUCUGUCUGCUUAAUUGCGUUUCAAAUUUUAUAUUUGUUAACAUGCGAGUCUUCAAUGACGGCCACUCCACCUUAUAGACAUUAUAUGAUAUGCACAUUUGUGUAUUUGAUUAUAACUUGUCUGGAGUCUGGCUCGAUUUUUUUGACUCAAUUGAACGCAACGGACGUGAUUGCAAGUCCUUGUUGAACAAAUUAUAUAUAUACUACUUCAUCAUUAGUAUAUAUAGUUCGCUUCUCAUGUCGUAGUCAAACGGGCGGGCGUCUUAAUUGGCGCGGUCACGAGGCUUAAUAUGCUGCGGCUGGGGAAAACUUGGGCGACCGCUGUAAUACUUCUCUCUUAAACCA
RNAcentral lists this ribosomal RNA (499 nucleotides) under Globigerinella siphonifera. RNAcentral's name for it is "bacterial SSU rRNA". It matches the Rfam family "Eukaryotic small subunit ribosomal RNA", at positions 1193 to 1400 of the family's 1831-position model. The record is from RNAcentral. Lineage: Eukaryota; Foraminifera; Rotaliida; Globigerinidae.